UACCAGACUCCUACGGGAGGCAGCAGUGAGGAAUAUUGGUCAAUGGUCGGGAGACUGAACCAGCCAAGCCGCGUGAGGGAGGAAGGUACAGAGUAUCGUAAACCUCUUUUGUCAGGGAACAAAGGCGGGGACGUGUCCCCGGAUGAGUGUACCUGAAGAAAAAGCAUCGGCUAACUACGUGCCAGCAGCCGCGGUAAUACGUAGGUGGCAAGCGUUAUCCGGAUUUACUGGGUGUAAAGGGCGUGUAGGCGGGGACGCAAGUCAGAUGUGAAAACCACGGGCUCAACCUGUGGCCUGCAUUUGAAACUGUGUUUCUUGAGUACUGGAGAGGCAGACGGAAUUCCUAGUGUAGCGGUGAAAUGCGUAGAUAUUAGGAGGAACACCAGUGGCGAAGGCGGUCUGCUGGACAGCAACUGACGCUGAGGCGCGAAAGCGUGGGGAGCAAACAGGAUUAGAUACCCUGGUAC
RNAcentral lists this ribosomal RNA (467 nucleotides) under uncultured bacterium. RNAcentral describes it as "bacterial SSU rRNA". It matches the Rfam family "Bacterial small subunit ribosomal RNA", at positions 329 to 793 of the family's 1533-position model. The record is from RNAcentral.